This 203-nucleotide unclassified non-coding RNA is filed under the name Hevea brasiliensis (rubber tree). Lineage: Eukaryota; Viridiplantae; Streptophyta; Magnoliopsida; Malpighiales; Euphorbiaceae. The record is from RNAcentral.
GCCUUGGUGGCUUGGAACUCUUGCAGACCGGACCUGAUGGAACGAAAGCGGCUGUUGCUGAUGCUAGUGGUAAAGGAACGCCACUUGAGAAUUUGGUAACUAAGACUGAAAUGAAGGGUCCCGAAAUGUAUAUCGUAGAACAAAUUAGUGCAGAGUUCAGAGAAUCGCUGUUGGCAAGAGUAGGAAUGAUGGGAGUUGUAUAU